RNAcentral lists this small RNA (273 nucleotides) under Canis lupus dingo (dingo). Its description in RNAcentral is "7SK RNA (ENSCAFG00020016733.1)". Lineage: Eukaryota; Metazoa; Chordata; Mammalia; Carnivora; Canidae. The record is from RNAcentral.
AGAUGUGUGAGCAUUUUGGUCAUGACGUCUACCAACCCACCGAUAGCCAGGGGUUAAUGGCACUCAUCUACUGUCUGGUCAAUUGAUCCUUCCUUUCUCACUACUCUAUGUGUGUCUCACUCCCAAAAAAGUGCCUGAUAAGUCAGAGAAUUAUCUUUCCAGAUAGAGGAGAAAUUAUUUCUUUUUCAGCGGGGAAAGGAGGAGAGAGGGAGAGGAAGAGAGAGAAUCUAAAGCAGGCUCCAUGCCCAGAGUAGAGCCUGUGGGGCUCAAUCU